This 27-nucleotide non-coding RNA is filed under the name Homo sapiens (human). The record is from RNAcentral. Lineage: Eukaryota; Metazoa; Chordata; Mammalia; Primates; Hominidae.
UGUUAAAGUUUUGCGAACUUAAAGGGC